Molecule: transfer RNA, 114 nt
Filed under: Ustilago trichophora
Lineage: Eukaryota; Fungi; Basidiomycota; Ustilaginomycetes; Ustilaginales; Ustilaginaceae
Rfam family: tRNA
About the family: Transfer RNA (tRNA) molecules are approximately 80 nucleotides in length. Their secondary structure includes four short double-helical elements and three loops (D, anti-codon, and T loops). Further hydrogen bonds mediate the characteristic L-shaped molecular structure. tRNAs have two regions of fundamental functional importance: the anti-codon, which is responsible for specific mRNA codon recognition, and the 3' end, to which the tRNAs corresponding amino acid is attached (by aminoacyl-tRNA synthetases). tRNAs cope with the degeneracy of the genetic code in two manners: having more than one tRNA (with a specific anti-codon) for a particular amino acid; and 'wobble' base-pairing, i.e. permitting non-standard base-pairing at the 3rd anti-codon position.
Source: Rfam by way of RNAcentral
GACGCUUUGGUGGAGUGGUUAACACGUAUCCCUGCUACUACAGUAAGCAACCAAGCGUGAGCUGGUGUUAGGAUAUCCUCUCUGAGGGCGUGAGUUCGAAUCUCACAGGCGUCG